UUGAGCGAUUUACUUCGGUAAAGAGCGGCGGACGGGUGAGUAACGCGUGGGUAACCUACCCUGUACACACGGAUAACAUACCGAAAGGUAUGCUAAUACGGGAUAAUAUAUUUGAGAGGCAUCUCUUGAAUAUCAAAGGUGAGCCAGUACAGGAUGGACCCGCGUCUGAUUAGCUAGUUGGUAAGGUAACGGCUUACCAAGGCGACGAGCAGUAGCCGACCUGAGAGGGUGAUCGGCCACAUUGGAACUGAGACACGGUCCAAACUCCUACGGGAGGCAGCCGUGGGGAAUAUUGCACAAUGGGCGAAAGCCUGAUGCAGCAACGCCGCGUGAGUGAUGAAGGCCUUCGGGUCG
Molecule: ribosomal RNA, 354 nt
Filed under: Clostridioides difficile
Lineage: Bacteria; Bacillati; Bacillota; Clostridia; Peptostreptococcales; Peptostreptococcaceae
Description: bacterial SSU rRNA
Rfam family: Bacterial small subunit ribosomal RNA
Source: RNAcentral